AUUAACCCUCUACAUUUGAUAUGUCAUAUAUCAAGGAUUCAUAUAGUCAAUCCCAGAUAUUCUUAAUUAGAAUGUAAUUGAUUGACAAAAUUUACAUUUCUCUAUUUUUGAUCAUGUCAAUGGAGAAUGAGAAGGAGAAAGAGAACGCGAUAUCAUCAUUGAAAAGAACUACUAGACAUAGAAGGUCAUCAAGUGUUUCAUGUUUUGUUUCUAGUACUUCAGAUCAAAUUUCUAACGACUCUCCAUUGUCUUCUUCUCCUAACGAUACUUCAAAAUGUAAAAAGUCUCAUAAUCAUUUUCCUGAGAUCAAAGAGAAAUGUAAGAACAUUAUGAAUCGAUUUGGUAGACAUCGUCGUCAUGCCUCUGCUGAUUUUACCUAUGAUCAAAUAAGUUAUGCCAAGAAUUUUGAAGAUAAUGAUGAAAUAAAUUUUGAUAACACUGAGGAUUUUCCUAAGAGGAAUUUUAUAUCUAGGUUGCCACUAUCUCCUCUUCAUUCCAAUGUGAUAAUUCCAACCAACAUACAAAAAGAUGAAUAAAUAGGGAGAUCAAACAUAUCUUACAACUACAAACAUAUAUUUUACCAUAAGUCAUCACCCUUUUGUUAUUAACCGGCCACAAGAUUAUAGAUCGAUGAAGAAUCUCUUCAAAAAUUUUGAUCAGGACACAUCACUAAAUCCAAAAAUCCCAUUGGUUGCUUAUUAAUCUCAAACCCGGUAGCUCAGUAGAUAUAUAGGCGCUCUUAUGAACUAUUGUGGUGUAACAUAUGGUCGAUGAAGAAUCUCUACAAAGUCUUCUAUAUGAUCAAAUGGCCAUUAAAUCAAGAAAUUCAUCGAGUGCCUAUUAAUUAACACUCCUAUAAACUCAUCUUGAUUACAAAUUCAAGUUGGUGUAAUAUAUGGUCGAUAAAAGAAUCACUCCAAAAUCUUCUAUGUGAUCAGGUUGGUGUAAUACGAAGAAACGCUCCAAAAUCUGCUCUUUGAUUAGGUACGUGCUACUAAAUUCAAAAAUCCCAUCACUUGCUUAUUAAUCUCAAACCUAAUAGCUUUGUUGAGUGGCACACCUAUAAUAAAACUCCUAUUUGCAUACAAGUUUUAAGUUGUACAAUAAUAUAUGGUCGAGGAAGAAUCUCUCCAGAAUCUGCUCUUUGAUCAGGAGGGCCACUAAACCCAAAAUUCAUAGCGAUUGUUCAUAGAUCUCAAACAUAAUAAUCGGAGUAUUAGUAAUUUUGUACGCUCAUCUUGCAUACAUACAUUUUCCAACAAAGGAUCAAAGUCACGGGCAUGAAUUCAGAAGAUGUGAAGGACAGCUUCGAAACAUCAAUACAAUUAGACUCGGAGACAGAUUUAGGGAAAAUUCAAUGUGUUCAACAAAUUCAUUACAUUCGAGUUGAAAAUAUGUAUUUGAAAUAUUAAUACAAGUAAAUUCUGAGGCGAGCAUUAUGUGAGUUCAACCAAUCAAUAAGAUCACACUCAUUCUAAUACCACAAAUUUCAAAUUAUAGAUUUACCUAUGCGCAAUAGAAAAAAAAUACUGUACUAGCAAAUUAAAGACAAAAGGCUGUAACGUUAUGUGAAAUAUAUUAAUUUCCUGUAUAAACAUUAGUAGAAAAAUUGGCUAUCUG
Solanum pennellii is the source of this 1620-nucleotide long non-coding RNA. RefSeq lists it as uncharacterized. The record is from RefSeq and is a predicted model, not a curated record. NCBI's taxonomy places the organism in Eukaryota, Viridiplantae, Streptophyta, Magnoliopsida, Solanales, Solanaceae. The transcript has 2 exons.